RNAcentral lists this ribosomal RNA (139 nucleotides) under vertebrate environmental sample. RNAcentral's name for it is "partial 12S ribosomal RNA". Lineage: Eukaryota; Metazoa; Chordata. The record is from RNAcentral.
UUAGAUACCCCACUAUGCCCGGGCCCUAAAUCUAGAUGUUUAUAAUAACCAAAACAUCCGCCCGGGUACUACGAGCACAAACGCUUAAAACCCUAAGGACUUGGCGGUGCCCCAAACCCACCUAGAGGAGCCUGUUCUA